RNAcentral lists this ribosomal RNA (253 nucleotides) under uncultured bacterium. Its description in RNAcentral is "partial 16S ribosomal RNA". It matches the Rfam family "Bacterial small subunit ribosomal RNA", at positions 524 to 776 of the family's 1533-position model. The record is from RNAcentral.
UACGAAGGGGGCUAGCGUUGUUCGGAAUCACUGGGCGUAAAGGGCGCGUAGGCGGCUGUUCAAGUCGGGGGUGAAAGCCUGUGGCUCAACCACAGAAUUGCCUUCGAUACUGGACGGCUCGAGACCGGAAGAGGUCAGUGGAACUGCGAGUGUAGAGGUGAAAUUCGUAGAUAUUCGGAAGAACACCAGUGGCGAAGGCGACACACUGGCUCAUCACUGACGCUGAGGCGCGAAAGCGUGGGGAGCAAACAGG